AUUGUUUGAUCAACUGUGUAUCUCUAAUAAUUGUAAUAUUAUCUUAAUCCAGAUGACUUUUUAAACACUUAGAACAAGGAAUAAAAAAUUCACUUUAAGAACAUAUUUUGUUGCAAAAGAUGGAUCAAGAAAAGAAGUCCAAGAACAAGAAUAUAUUACAUGAGGAUGCAGCCAGGCUUGAGAAUUCAAAAAAAAAAAAUUCUAUAGGGAGAAUAAAAUGAAAAUAUGAAUUCAAAGGAAAAAAAAGGAACAGUGUAAAAUUUCCAACUGUUAAGAAAGAGAUUGUGCAUUUAAAAAAUUAACGAUGGGUGUCAAAAUGUUAUGGUAUUUAGAUUCCAUUGGACAUGUGAUUAACAGUUUUAUUUAAACGUGUUUAUAGAUAUAUAUAUAUAAUAUGUUGUAAAUUACAUUCUUUGCAAUUCUUUGAACACACGCUGAGAAUUUCAGGUCAACCUAAGCCUGUGGGAGGGGGCACAUGAUAUUUCACAAUGCUUUUAGGGGAGAUGUGAAGGGAAGACCACUGAGCUAUUCUUCCUCCAUCCUGUGUUACCCUAAUAGGAACACGGACAUACAGCUGAGAAGAAUCUAGGUGUCAGCAGAGACAAGAAGGGGUGAACCUUUUUUUGUUCUAUGCCAGAAAGCUCUCUCAAAUGGAGGAAGGAAACACUAAGGGAGAGACACACUAGUCUUGACGCCCUUGGCAUUCUGGAAGGCCUGCCCCACACCCCAAAUUACCAAACCCAAAGCUCCCUUCAGCUCAGGAGAUUGUUCUUUAAUUUUCAGCAACUUUUCCCCACAGCAAAGAACCAAUUUUUCCUUUGCCUUAUAAUUUGAAUCCCUCCCUUUAUUUACUUGAAGACGAGGCUGUUACCCUCUUUCGAUACCCGUGAAGAGAGAAUGACCUGUGUUAGGCCAGGGUGGAAGAGGGGGCUGCAAGCUCCCAGAGUAAACCAUUGGCCUUAUACUUGAAAUAGUAUAAAAAUUUAAAUGCCAGCCCAAAGUAGAACCUGGAAACAAUGGAAGAAAGGAGGCGGAAGUGCCUGGCAUUAGACAAUGCACUCUUAGAAGUCUGCCCUGCAGAUUUUCCUCCCAUGAACUCUAGUCUUGGGACAACACCAAGUUUCUUUGAUUCCAAAUUUGCUCCUCAUAUACACACAAGGUAGUUAUCCCCUUGACUAUCCAAUCACACCAUUGCGUAGCACCAUUUACACAUACAUACACACUCACCUAGGGUUUUUUUGUUUGUUUUUAAUCAAGUCUGGGACCUGGUUUCCUCCCAUUGAAUCACUGGUGAAAAGUCUGGGAAAGCUAAGAAGAGAGCUCUUGGAGUGAAUCUCUUGGAGACAAGGGAACCAUUUCUCAGGUGCCUGGGUGCCCUUCUGGUUACUCUCCAGGCUCCUGACUUGGCUUCCCCAGCCCCCAUGAAUAAGCAGGGGAGAUCCGAAUGCAGACCAGGCACAUGGGGCUUAGCCCACAGGGGCUGGCCAUCCCUGGUAGAACCCUGACCUUGGGCACUGGGCCUCCUGGAAAACCCAUCCUGCUGCUUUUGCAGUUCUCCUUCUUGACUGCUUCUCAGGCUGAGUUUUCACUAGCCUCUUGCCUCACCUCCUCUGACCCAAGCAGCCGCAGGAACUCCCUUGCACUGUGCUGGCCCCCUAGAUGUGACUUCUUGGUCACAUCCUCUGCCUCCUAGGCUGAGACUUGCCUGCCUGAUGGUCCUACUCUCUUCUAUCCUCUAUAACACAUCUGUGAGUUACCAUCUCUGGCCCUAGCAUAAGAGUGGCAGGAUAUUGUGUACCUCACCUACUUAGAGUGGGAACCCACGAGUCAAGCUGAAGAGGCCUAGUAUCCUCACUCCCUUUGUACUCAAGUUUUUCAUCUAUAUUAUCCAAACUCCACUCUAAUAACGAGAGCACCAAGGAAGAGUAGACUAGCAACUGUGUCCAUGACUAUUAUAAGGAGGGAGCAAGAUGGCUUUGAGAAGGGGAGAGGAGAUGGCUUAUGAUUAGGCUGGACUCUAGAGAAUCCUGCUUAAGGCACCUGGAUGGCUCCUGAUUUCCCUGCUCUGAGAAGAUAUUCCCUUCCCCACAGAUCCGUCCGUCCGUAUCCCAUCUCAGGCUGAGAGAUGCUGAUGUGAGGCCCAGAGGGUGGUGCCUGAGAGAGAAACCGGCGGUUGCAUAAACCGAGGCCACUUCAGGUUAAAGGGGAGCGAGUUCUGUCUAUCCAAACGAACACGGUGAGAACUGAAGGGAUAAAUGUACCACCCGAAGGAUUCUCCUGGGACCCUCCCCAAGGACCUGGAUUCCUUAAAGAUCCCGCCACAGCAGGAGCACUCAGAGUACGCCUUCCCCAAGCAAAGAGUCUAAAGGUCUGGGAGAUCCCCUCCCUCCCUCGUCAUGGACAAGACCCAUUCUCAGUGCUCUGCCCCACCUAACUCCAGGGCCCCACGGAAGAAACGAGAGAGGAAUCUAGAGGUCAGUGUCCCUCCCUCACUACCCCAGCUGGGUGAUCCCUGGGCGACAGAAUCACCGUCCCAAAUCUCACCCUGCAGCAGCAUCGUCUCCCGCGCGUUCUCCAGGUAUUUGCACAGGCGCGGGACGCCCUCUUCCUCCAGGCCAGCGCUCCGGGACUUUGCACGGUGGAAAAGAGGGACGUCAUUUGUCCCUGAACAGAAUAACCUGAGACCGCCGGUACCAUGGCUGUGGACGUGUGGGGUCGUGGGAAUCCCUAGCGCUGGUCGCGCUCCUGAGUCCGCUUCCAAACCUCAUUCACGACCCGGAAAGGAUGCAUGCAUAUAUAUGUGUGUGUGUGUGUG
This is a long non-coding RNA of Equus asinus (donkey), 2815 nucleotides long. Lineage: Eukaryota; Metazoa; Chordata; Mammalia; Perissodactyla; Equidae. The record is from Ensembl.